GAUUAACACGAAAUCACACAUAAUAGGAAAAUUAAGUUGAUGAGAAUUGACUAAAUACAAACCACGAAGUCAAACAAUUAUAAAAACUCUCUCUUGGAUGGAGAACCUAAGCAAGCACUACAAGGCAAUUGAGGCACCACCCAUACUACCGAUUUGGUUUUCACCGACGGUGAUUCAUCAUCCUCCGACCAAGAAGAGACUUGUGUCUAAUUAGCUAGUUGGUGAAGUAAUAACUUACCAAGGCAAUGAUUAACAGCUAGUCUGAGAGGAUAAUCAUCCACACUAGGACUCAGAUAUAACCCAGACUCCUAUGGGAGACAAUAGUAGCAAUUUUUUGCAAUAGGCGAAAGUUGAUAGAGCAAUGUCGCGUAGAGGCAGAAGGUCCAUGGGUCUGAACUUCUUUUUCCGAAUAAGAGGCAAUGAGGGUAUCUAAAAUAUAAUCAUCGGAUAACUUUUUGCCAGAAACCAUGGUAAGGUAGAGAAUGGAAGCGUUAUC
RNAcentral lists this ribosomal RNA (496 nucleotides) under Olea europaea subsp. europaea. RNAcentral's name for it is "Bacterial small subunit ribosomal RNA". It matches the Rfam family "Bacterial small subunit ribosomal RNA", at positions 161 to 545 of the family's 1533-position model. Lineage: Eukaryota; Viridiplantae; Streptophyta; Magnoliopsida; Lamiales; Oleaceae. The record is from Rfam by way of RNAcentral.